RNAcentral lists this ribosomal RNA (480 nucleotides) under uncultured bacterium. RNAcentral's name for it is "partial 16S ribosomal RNA". It matches the Rfam family "Bacterial small subunit ribosomal RNA", at positions 28 to 523 of the family's 1533-position model. The record is from RNAcentral.
GACGAACGCUGGCGGCGUGCUUAACACAUGCAAGUCGAGCGAUGAAACACCUUCGGGUGCGGAUUAGCGGCGAACGGGUGAGGAACACGUGAGGAAUCUGCCUUCCACUCUGGGAUAACUCCGGGAAACCGGGGCUAAUACCGGAUACUUUCAACUGGCGGCAUCGCCGGUUGAAGAAAGUUUUUCGGUGGAAGAUGACCUCGCGGCCUAUCAGCUUGUUGGUGAGGUAAAGGCUCACCAAGGCGACGACGGGUAGCCGGCCUGGGAGGGCGACCGGCCACACUGGGACUGAGACACGGCCCAGACUCCUACGGGAGGCAGCAGUGGGGAAUAUUGGGCAAUGGAGGAAACUCUGACCCAGCGACGCCGCGUGAGGGAUGAAGGCCUUCGGGUUGUAAACCUCUUUCAGCAGGGAAUAAGCGAAAGUGAAGGUACCUGCAGAAGAAGCACCGGCUAGCUAUGUGCCAGCAGCCGCCGCCG